This 1066-nucleotide long non-coding RNA is filed under the name Nicotiana benthamiana. RNAcentral's name for it is "long non-coding RNA (NBEN_LNC041613)". Lineage: Eukaryota; Viridiplantae; Streptophyta; Magnoliopsida; Solanales; Solanaceae. The record is from RNAcentral.
UAGACUCAUAAUUUAUGCCUUAAUAUUGCACACCUUGUCUUGCUUGAAUGCUCAUGUGAGUUUAUUGACAAACUAAUUCGGAAUGAGUUACAUGCCAAGUGUGUGUGAGGUAAUACCUGUGUUCUGUGCUUGCAUGCGAUACCUAGAACUUUCCCGGUGUGUUUGCAAAUCAAAUAGAAUUUGUUUGGUCUUAGAGAUGAUUUAGGCAUUUCUUCGUGUAGCCUGUCUAAUUAUGAAUCCACCUGUACAUAUUACCAUAGUUAACCCAUUCGAUCCUGAAGCUUGUUUCUUUGAUAACUUUGCAAUAACUUACAUCCUUGUGUUGAAUAGCUUGACUGUUUGAACCUUUGCCUCCUAGAAGUACUUGAUAUGUUAAAGAUUAUAUAAAAGUCAAAGUGUGGGGUUUAAUGGAGUGGGAAAAAAGAAAAUCAGGAAAAUACUUUAAUGGUGCAAUGAUAGUUGAAAAAAAAGAACCUUGUAAAUAGGUGGUCCUAAAAUAGUGAAUGGCAAGAAAAAGUAAGUUGCACCUAGGAAAGUGGGGGUAGUAUAUGAACAUGGAAAUUAGAAUAAAGGGAACAAAUGUAUUAAAAGUACUUAGGGAGGUUAGUCACUAUACCCAAAUAUAUCCUACCCAUCCCUUGGCCUACAUUACAGCCAAAUAAAGACCUCUUGAUCUUGGACUUAACAACUCAAUUAGUGGAUUAUUACACUAAGGGAAAUCUUAUGGUGUAUCUGUAUGGCAUGUGAAUGUUCUUUGAUGAUCGUGAGUGAAUUCUUUCGAUCUAUAGUUCCUUGUUAUUUGAUGUGUGUGGAACUUCUAUCAAAAAUGUUAUGUGAGGGCAUGUGACUCAGGAAGAAAAAGUAAGUUUUCCCCUCUGUUUGGAGUACAUAGAGUAAGCAAGAGUCUGGCAUGGCAUUCGAGUCUUCAUCUGAGAUGUGGCUAUUGCACUGCUUAGGUUGUUCUUUCAUAAUGGCGGGUGUGAUAUCAACAGGGUAAUGCAUCAAGUGAUUAGGCCUAGAAGUAUGGUUCAACUUGCUCGAGGACGAGAAAAUAUUUAAGUGUGGG